This 234-nucleotide long non-coding RNA is filed under the name Pelobates cultripes (western spadefoot toad). The record is from RNAcentral. Lineage: Eukaryota; Metazoa; Chordata; Amphibia; Anura; Pelobatidae.
GUGGGUACCACUAACUUGAAGGGAGAGCGAAAGAGGAGGAUCAGUAUUUGGACGAGGAAAGAAAAGGAGCUCAGUUUUAGAGAGAUUGAGUUUCAGAAAGCGGGAGGACAUUCAGUGAUGGAAGAAAGGCAAGAAGUGACAUGUUGCAGGACAGCAGGGGAGAGGUCCGGGGAGGAGAGAUAUAACUGGGUGUCAUCAGCGUACAGGUGUUAGUGGAAUCCAAAUGAGGCAAUA